Molecule: ribosomal RNA, 497 nt
Filed under: uncultured bacterium
Lineage: Bacteria
Description: partial 16S ribosomal RNA
Rfam family: Bacterial small subunit ribosomal RNA
Source: RNAcentral
GAUGAACGCUGGCGGCGUGCCUAAUACAUGCAAGUCGAGCGAACAGAUGAGGGGCUUGCUCCUCUGACGUUAGCGGCGGACGGGUGAGUAACACGUGGAUAACCUACCUAUAAGACUGGGAUAACUUCGGGAAACCGGAGCUAAUACCGGAUAAUAUAUUGAACCGCAUGGUUCAAUAGUGAAAGACGGUUUUGCUGUCACUUAUAGAUGGAUCCGCGCCGCAUUAGCUAGUUGGUAAGGUAACGGCUUACCAAGGCAACGAUGCGUAGCCGACCUGAGAGGGUGAUCGGCCACACUGGAACUGAGACACGGUCCAGACUCCUACGGGAGGCAGCAGUAGGGAAUCUUCCGCAAUGGGCGAAAGCCUGACGGAGAAACGCCGCGUGAGUGAUGAAGGUCUUCGGAUCGUAAAACUCUGUUAUUAGGGAAGAACAAAUGUGUAAGUAACUAUGCACGUCUUGACGGUACCUAAUCAGAAAGCCACGGCUAACUACGUG